AUUGAACGCUGGCGGCAGGCCUAACACGUGCCAGUCGAGCGGAUGAAGGGAGCUUGCUCCUGGAUUCAGCGGCGGACGGGUGAGUAAUGCCUAGGAAUCUGCCUGGUAGUGGGGGAUAACGUCCGGAAACGGGCGCUAAUACCGCAUACGUCCUGAGGGAGAAAGUGGGGGAUCUUCGGACCUCACGCUAUCAGAUGAGCCUAGGUCGGAUUAGCUAGUUGGUGGGGUAAAGGCCUACCAAGGCGACGAUCCGUAACUGGUCUGAGAGGAUGAUCAGUCACACUGGAACUGAGACACGGUCCAGACUCCUACGGGAGGCAGCAGUGGGGAAUAUUGGACAAUGGGCGAAAGCCUGAUCCAGCCAUGCCGCGUGUGUGAAGAAGGUCUUCGGAUUGUAAAGCACUUUAAGUUGGGAGGAAGGGCAGUAAGUUAAUACCUUGCUGUUUUGACGUUACCAACAGAAUAAGCACCGGCUAACUUCG
RNAcentral lists this ribosomal RNA (482 nucleotides) under uncultured bacterium. Its description in RNAcentral is "partial 16S ribosomal RNA". It matches the Rfam family "Bacterial small subunit ribosomal RNA", at positions 30 to 505 of the family's 1533-position model. The record is from RNAcentral.